AGCAGCCGCGGUAAUUCCAGCUCCAAUAGCGUAUAUUAAAGUUGUUGCAGUUAAAAAGCUCGUAGUUGAAUUUCGGGAUUAGUACGCUGGUCGUGCCUUCGGUAUGUACUGGUGUUACUGGUUCCUACCUUCUGAAGAACCGUCAUGUCAUUAAUUUGGUGUGGCGGGGAAUCAGGACUGUUACUUUGAAAAAUUAGAGUGUUUAAAGCAGGCUCGCGCUUGAAUACAUUAGCAUGGAAUAAUGAAAUAGGACGUUCGAUCCUAUUUUGUUGGUUUCUAGGAUUGACGUAAUGAUUAAUAGGGAUAGUUGGGGGCAUUAGUAUUCAAUUGUCAGAGGUGAAAUUCUUGGAUUUGUUGAAGACUAACUACUGCGAAAGCAUUUGCCAAGGAUGUUUUCAUUAAUCAAGAACGAAGUUAGGGGAUCGAAGACGAUCAGCUACCGUCGUAGUC
This 450-nucleotide ribosomal RNA is filed under the name uncultured Glomus. RNAcentral describes it as "SSU rRNA". It matches the Rfam family "Eukaryotic small subunit ribosomal RNA", at positions 569 to 1025 of the family's 1831-position model. Lineage: Eukaryota; Fungi; Glomeromycota; Glomeromycetes; Glomerales; Glomeraceae. The record is from RNAcentral.